CCUACGGGUGGCAGCAGUGGGGAAUAUUGGACAAUGGGGGGAACCCUGAUCCAGCCAUGCCGCGUGCGUGAAGAAGGCCCUCGGGUUGUAAAGCACUUUCAGUGAGGAAGAACGCCUGGUGGUUAAUACCCAUCAGGAAAGACAUCACUCACAGAAGAAGCACCGGCUAACUCCGUGCCAGCAGCCGCGGUAAUACGGAGGGUGCGAGCGUUAAUCGGAAUUACUGGGCGUAAAGCGCGCGUAGGUGGCUUGAUAAGCCGGUUGUGAAAGCCCCGGGCUCAACCUGGGAACGGCAUCCGGAACUGUCAAGCUAGAGUGCAGGAGAGGAAGGUAGAAUUCCCGGUGUAGCGGUGAAAUGCGUAGAGAUCGGGAGGAAUACCAGUGGCGAAGGCGGCCUUCUGGACUGACACUGACACUGAGGUGCGAAAGCGUGGGUAGCAAACAGGAUUAGAUACCCUGGUAGUC
Molecule: ribosomal RNA, 465 nt
Filed under: Vreelandella stevensii
Lineage: Bacteria; Pseudomonadati; Pseudomonadota; Gammaproteobacteria; Oceanospirillales; Halomonadaceae
Description: partial 16S ribosomal RNA
Rfam family: Bacterial small subunit ribosomal RNA
Source: RNAcentral